Molecule: ribosomal RNA, 262 nt
Filed under: uncultured bacterium
Lineage: Bacteria
Description: partial 16S ribosomal RNA
Rfam family: Bacterial small subunit ribosomal RNA
Source: RNAcentral
GACGAACCGUGCGAACGUUAUUCGGAAUCACUGGCUUAAAGCGCGUGUAGGCGGGAUGGCACGUCGGUCGCUGAAAGCCCCCGGCUCAACCGGGGAAGUGGCGCCGAUACGACCACCCUGGAGGGACGUAGGGGGACCUGGAACUUCCGGUGGAGCGGUGAAAUGCGUUGAGAUCGGAAGGAACGCCCGUGGCGAAAGCGAGGUCCUGGACGUUUACUGACGCUGAGACGCGAAAGCCAGGGGAGCGAACGGGAUAGAAACC